UUUUAAUAAAUGGAUAUUUGUACAACUUUUAUGUUUUAGAAAUUAACAAUUAGAUAUUAUAUGAUACUUUAAUUUUCGCGCGGUUUUGUAAAUAAGGAACCUCGCCGCUACAGCCAAUUAAAAUGCCCCUAGACGAACUAUGAUGCGUCAUUCUUCAGUGGGAAAUUAUCGUGAGUGCUACGCAUCGCUUCGGUUGCUCGAUUACGCGAUUAUUGUUCAAUCAUAGCUUUGAAAAAAAUUCGACUAUGAAGAAAAAAUGCAUACGUCAUUCACAAUUUACUCAAGAAUUUACUCAUAAUUUUUCUGCAAAUAAGGUUAUUAGGUGACUAGUGGAAUGAAUUUUAAAAAAGUACAUAUUUCAAUAUGGAUGCCUUGAAUCAGUGAACAAUUGUUUUAGGAAAUAUUUGAGACCGAGCGCAAUGCGGUCGAUAGAAUCAGUGUUUAUUUCGUAAAAGUUUUUAUAUUUUUUGAAGUUUUGAAGUGUUUGAAACUCUAUUUAAAUUAUAAUAAUUUCGCGAGAUUAAAAUCAGUGUUUUUUUCGCCGAUUAUAAUAUAAACGGUCGCGUUAGGAUUAUUUUACUUAUUCUUUUUUUUUUUUUUUUAAAUAUUCGUUUCCGGUAUAUAUUCGAGUCAGUGUUUCAAAAAAAUAAAUCAAUCAUCAGUUAUGCAAAAAAAUGUUUCUCAGCCUCAAGACUUAUUUAAAAGUGGUUUUCUCGAUGACUUUCCAUGAUGAUAACAUUGAUGGCAGUUUUUUCGCAUCUAAUGGUAGUGGAAUGUACAACUCGGAUGCAGAAGCGUGGACAUUUUUGUAUAGAUUAUCUUUCGUGUAACGUUAUCAGUUCGCAAUGGAAUGGAAUAGAAUAGUAAACGCUCUCGAAAACAGAAACAAUUUUUCAACAUGAACAUCGGAGCUACGAGUUAUCCAGCCGGUCCGCGCUUCCAGACAGACGUAUAGAUCGCGGCCCAUAAAUAACAAGGAAGGGAAGGGCCCUCGUCUUUAAUACGAUCCCCGUUUCCCGAACUCAUAACCGUUGAUCUUCCGCUGGAAAUUCACGAGGAAAAUGCGACAAAAGUUCACCGCGCAAGAAGAUGCACACGAUGUAACAUUCAACAAACACCGGUAGACAAUGUUCCAAACUAUACAACAUACAUUUUGACAAGUUCCAGUUUCGCUUCGCAAGCAGCCGGAAAUUGAACACCGGCUGUGUUUCCUGUAUCCACGGCGGCGAGCCAGAUUCCGCGAUGGUAGUUUUACCGCGCUUUCAAGACAAACCCUGAGACGAUGAAACGGAUUUACACGGUUGAUUGAAGAGGAGUUAUACAGUAUCGACGUCAGCGACAAUGCUAGGCCGAAAGUUGUAGCGGGCGAUGUCGGCAAAUUGGUGAAAGGGUUGGCUUCAAACUGAAAUUGAGAGGGGUUGGACGUCGCCGGUACCCAACAUCAGAAGGGCAGAGGCGGGAUACGACGCUUCUGGGCUGUCGUGAACCCUGGGCUGGAGCCACCGGUGUACUUGGCAGAGAGUGCUUUUCAUCUCCGUAAAUGGACCGGCGGUAAAGCAAUUUUGGUACAUUACCUAUACCUGCUUUAACCCCUCCCCCGCCUUUUCUGUCAGACUUCCCGACCACCCCCAUCGUCUUUCAUCUUGCAUCAUCCGACUCUCGAUCGCGGGGAACGUUUGAUUUCGAUGGGAAACGUCGUAAAGGCAUUAAAGGGGGUGGGGGAGGUAUAGGGGUACAGGAUCGGUGGCGGUGGUGGUGGCCGCCAGACCCGUGAAACAAAGAAGCGAUUUCGCUGUUUCCAUCCACGUUGGCGCCGGCGACGGCCUUUUUGUAAAUGACCGUAAUCGCGCGCCACCCUCCCUCUUUGAGAGAAGUUAAAACCCUCUUCUCUCUCUCCCCUUCUCGCUCUUUCUAUUUCUCUCGCUCUCUGCGACGAGUGACGUUGAUCGAGCGGUUGCUCCAACUUUAGCGGAAAUUUCAACGCGGCGUCCAACAGUUUCUCAAACAAUCGAUCCGUAAUGUGGCACCGGCGGCGGCUAUUUUUAGUUGCUUCUUUCUUCCUUCUGGACCCGGCUAACUUCUUCUCUAUAAUCGUGCCGUACUUUUAACCUUUCACGUGAAGAACGCCAACGCGUCUCGUUGUGUUCCGGUUCGUCUAUCGCGAAUUUUCUAAAUAUUUCUUUUCCCUUCUCUUUUUCCUCUCUUUUCUUUUCUUUUACUUCGUUUCAAUCUACGAGUUGAUUCGUGUGUAUAAAAUUUUUACGUUCGAUCUCUUUUUCUAUCGACUAUCUAAUACGCGUGGAACAUUUAUAAAACUCGUUUAUUCUUUUAUAGAUUGAUGGAAAUAACAAAAGGAGAAGGGGAUGGAUGGUAAAUUUUCAAAGGCUGCAACAUCGAUCUUAACGAGCAUGAAAACGCGUACCGACGUUAUUUCGGGCGACCUCGCGAGAUAUCCAAUUCAAAAAUCUCGUUCGCAAUCGAAUCGUUGUUUAAAUGUCGGCGACCCUCGUUGACCCAGUUCGCUUGCCGUAGCGUUAGAUUUACCGCAGCGAGAAAAAAGGAAUGGAGAGAAGAAUAAGAGAGAGAGAGACAGAGAGAGAGAGAGAGAAAGAGAGGGAGAGGGAGAAUUGGCUCGUAGCUAGAAAGUAUCAACGUUUAAUCCAGCCUGAUUGCAUUCGGUCGUGCGACGAUUUUACGAGCGCGCUCAAAACGGCCUGGCAAACACAUUUUCCUUUUCGCGAAUUUUUUUCCUGCAAUCACGACCGAGAUGAGCAAACGUUCGUAAACGUUCGUGCAUCGUUCCCUAGUUCGCUUCUGACCUGGCAACUAAUUUUUGUCCACCAGGAGAAGAAAUCCAGCCGAAACGAAGUGCCUGGGGAGAGUUGACGAAUUUAUCGAUUCGUGUACGGGGUAAAAAUUGCACGCGUGCACACGAGAGAUUUGAAACAGGUUUGUCGGAAAUUGGAAUAUGCCUCGUGCGUAUUUAAUGAAAAUAUGAUAUUUUUAAAUCGAAUUUUUUUUACUUUUUUUCUCUCUUUUUUUUUUUUUUCGCCAUCGUAACAUGUUUUGAAACAUUUAGUGCUAAAAGCAAUGCGCGAAAUGUAAUUAAUCCUCCCAUGCGCAACAUUUUCCGAUUUUUCGUCUAUAAUAAUAUUGUUUUUUUUUUUUUAUUAUUUCAGUUUAUUCGAUUAUCGAAACUAUAAGAUCAAAAGCAUCGAUUUCGUUCAACAAUAUAUUUUAAUAUUUGAUUAUUGUCGUUGGUUCACGCGGGAGGAGAAACCAAUGAGACGCGUAAAAAUGAAAGAUUUUUUAUCGAGUCAUAACAAUCAAUUCGAUCAAUUCUAUAUCGUUUAUAUAUCGGUUAUUUAAUUAUUUAAAUUCUUUUCUGUUUAAAUUAUACGUUUAUCAACCUCGAAUUGAAAGUACGAUAAAAAUUUCUAUUUUAAAUUAAUUAAACAAGAAAACUUCUAAAUCUUCUCAAGUUAAUUAAAAAAAGAAAAACAAGUUUCUCACAUAAAUCUUUAUUUACAAAGAUUCUAUCGAUUUCAAGAACAGGCAAUCCAUACUUCCAACUAUCUCAGAAAGUGUCGCAAAAAUCAAUCGAAUAGAUGCGUAGCGAAUUCAUUUAUCACAGAGUGAAAUUUAGUUACGGAUUCUCAUCGAGGCAAAGAAAAAGACGGCUAGACACGACUAGAGACAGAGAGAGAGAGAGUAACUUUCCUCCGCGCGCUUUGCGGCCGUGAAGAAGGGGGUUGUGCCGCUUUUGUCGUGCUGCACAGACGCGUGGAAAAGAAGAGGCCGAUGGGCAGCCUCUUUAAAGAGUAAUUACGCCUACACUCGAUGUAUCCUGCGCCCCGUGAUAUUCUUCAUCGUUUUUUUUUCAGGUGAAUACGUGUUUGUUUGCCAUUGUUCCAUCCUCGAGGAGCAGCCACUUGAAGUCCCAUACGCGUCGAAUCCUUUAGAAAACUGCGACGAGAGGCGCGGGAGGAUCGAAGAGACGAGACUUCAUACGAGACUUCGUUUGACAGCCCACUGGUCACCGAAGCGAUUUCGCUGCAGAAAAAUGGAAGCUCGUUAACGGGCGAGGAAAAUGGUUGCUUCGACUUGGUGUUUCGUGGGUCGAAGGUCGUUUUGUGAAUCGGGCGGAGGAAGAGGAGCGAGGACGGAGGGAACGGCGGAUGCGGACUUUGCGGCCGGUGCACAAUACAGUGAAACGCACUUCACUCGGGGGCCACUCCACUCGAAGAGCGCCUAGAUUACGGCUGCAAAGGAGACAACGAGUAUCCCUUUUGCGAUUUAAGCGGUGAUGGCCGGGGUUCUUACGCCCUUUCCUUCUACGAACUCGCUCGAUUUACGCGUAUUAAAUAUAGAGGCUUUUAAAAGCGAAUCCCGCCACGAGGGGGAAAGAAGGGGAAGAAGGGAGAGGAGAGGAGAAUGGAAGGACGCGCACGCAAUCCGAGACAAUAUCCCGUUUUGGCUAAGAGGAUCGCCGUCUCGGUGGCAGUUUUAAUAAAUUUCGCCGAUUUCUACGCUCACCGUGGAUUGCAACGUCGACUAUCUACGAAUAAACGGACGGAAUCCCCGUACUUUCGGUUUAUUAUACUUCGUUAGAACCAUAACUACGAUUUUGUAAGUCGUUUUAAUAUCAUUAUUGUUCUAUACGUUUGUAACAAAAUUUUAUAUUUUAAAAAAUAAAUAAAAAUGUGAA
Molecule: long non-coding RNA, 4708 nt
Organism: Apis mellifera (honey bee)
Lineage: Eukaryota; Metazoa; Arthropoda; Insecta; Hymenoptera; Apidae
Exons: 15
Source: RefSeq, a predicted model, not a curated record